Molecule: ribosomal RNA, 440 nt
Filed under: uncultured bacterium
Lineage: Bacteria
Description: partial 16S ribosomal RNA
Rfam family: Bacterial small subunit ribosomal RNA
Source: RNAcentral
CCUACGUGUGGCUGCAGUAGGGAAUAUUGCACCAUGGGGGAAACCCUGAUGCAGCGACGCCGCGUGGGUGAAGACGUAUUUCGGUUUGUAAAGCUCUCUCAGCAGGGAAGAAAAUGACGGUCCCUGAUUAAUAAGCCCCGGCUAACUACGUGCCAGCAGCCGCGGUAAUACGUAGGGUGCAAGCGUUACCCGGAUUUACUGGGAUUAAAGGGCGCGUAGACGGCAGCGCAAGUCUGGAGUGAAAUCCCGGGGCUUAACCCCGGAACUGCGUGGGAAACUGUGCAUCUAGAGUACCGGAGAGGUAAGUGGAAUUCUUAGUGUAGGGGUAAAAUGCGUAGAGAUUAGGAGGAAUACCAGUUGCGAAGGCGGCUUACUAGAAUGUAACUGACGUUGAGGCGCGAAAGCGUGGGGAGCAAACAGGAUUAGAUACCCGUGUAGUC